GUGAUAGCAAUAUCAUAGUGGCGCACGGGUGCGUAACACGUAUGCAACCUACCUUAUACUGAGGGAUAGCCUUUCGAAAGGGAGAUUAAUACCUCAUAACACAUUGAACUGGCAUCAGUUUGUUGUUAAAGAUUUAUUGGUAUAAGAUGGGCAUGCGUCCAAUUAGUUAGUUGGCGAGGUAACGGCUCACCAAGACGAUGAUUGGUAGGGGAACUGAGAGGUUAAUCCCCCACUCUGGCACUGAGAUACGGGCCAGACUCCUACGGGAGGCAGCAGUAGGGAAUAUUGGGCAAUGGAGGCAACUCUGACCCAGCCAUGCCGCGUGCAGGAAGAAGGCGUUAUGCGUUGUAAACUGCUUUUAUAUAGGAAGAAAUAGACCUUGCGAGGUAAGUUGACGGUACUAUAUGAAUAAGCACCGGCUAACUCCGUGCCAGCAGCCGCGGUAAUACGGAGGGUGCAAGCGUUGUCCGGAUUUAUUGGGUUUAAAGGGUGCGUAGGCGGUUUAUUAAGUCAGUGGUGAAAGACGGUCGCUCAACGAUUGCAGUGCCAUUGAUACUGGUAGACUUGAGUGGGAUUGAGGUAGCUGGAAUGGAUAGUGUAGCGGUGAAAUGCAUAGAUAUUAUCCAGAACACCAAUUGCGUAGGCAAGUUACUAAGUCUCAACUGACGCUGAGGCACGAAAGUGUGGGUAUCAAACAGGAU
This 701-nucleotide ribosomal RNA is filed under the name uncultured bacterium. RNAcentral's name for it is "bacterial SSU rRNA". It matches the Rfam family "Bacterial small subunit ribosomal RNA", at positions 69 to 778 of the family's 1533-position model. The record is from RNAcentral.